GCUCUAUCUAAUACCUCUAGAUUAAUUCAGAACAUAUUUAAUCCUUCUUGUAUAAUAGCCUUCACAUGUGUGAAAGCUUGAUCUCUUUCCCAGUCUUAAAAACUCUCCAGCAACUUCAUCCUUCCCUCACCAAAAUGCAAAUUUCCUUCUGCUUGAACCGUGAUGUUUAAGUUCCCUUUCAUAGUGGAGUAUCCAGAAGGGAACACAUUGUAGCUAGCUUGUUGUGGGUUAAGACUGUCACUUUCCCUGUUGAAAAGACUUUAUCAGUAUGGCCUGAGGUCAGGGGAUUUUCUUAGCUGUGAUAUACUGUUGAUUUAGUGAGUCAUAAUUAUGCAAAGUUGUGUCCUUUCCCUACAUAGGUUUAUAUAUAUAUAUAUAUGGGGUUUUUUUGGACCAAAGACUAAACUUUAUAAUUAUCCUUGUUCAGUUUCAUUGAGAUGAUUUCGGUGCCUCAUACCAAUUUUCCAAGCUCAGAAGAAUCCCAGAAGCAUUUCUCAGUCUCAGGCUUCCUGGGGCAAGGCAGAUAUUCCUUUGGGGGUUACAACAGCAGCACAGUACUGACGUUUCACCAAGUUCUCUUUCAAGUAGUCCCCCUGGAAGGCUGUAAUAUAAACUUACUCAAACAAUUAAGGCAUAGUUCAUGACUAUUUUGCUUCUUGUCUUUAUAUUUUCUUCACUACCUCCAUAUAUCAUUGCACCUCCUUGAAAAGCAUGUUCUGUGGCUG
This 725-nucleotide long non-coding RNA is filed under the name Homo sapiens (human). RNAcentral's name for it is "HSALNT0232757". The record is from RNAcentral. Lineage: Eukaryota; Metazoa; Chordata; Mammalia; Primates; Hominidae.